GCUGUACUUCACUCCCACCUCAUGCUUUGCUUGAUAAAAACUUAAAACACAGCUGCCCAGAAGCACACACCACACUCUCUCCAUCUCGCCAGAACCUGCGUCCCUGCCCCUAGUAGUUCCUGAUGAUGCAGGUUUCUAAAGACGUUAUGAUCGUGUCUCUGCUUUUGCUGUGCUCAAGUGAUGACUUGUAUAUAUAUGCAGUGUUACAUGUUCUGUAGUUAUGCUUAAAGUGUAGCUUUUGAUCUCAAACUCUAAGCUUUACGCUCGUGAGAUGUCGUUUUCAAGCUAGUUUUUGUAAUCCGACAUAGUUGGUCGAUGCUAUGUAUGUAAAUUAGUAAGUAUAAGGAAUAAGGGUUGUAUAUUAUCAGUUUGGUUGUAUAAAAGUGUUUCUCUAUAUAAGUUCGUUAUUUCCCGCGA
Molecule: long non-coding RNA, 417 nt
Organism: Beta vulgaris subsp. vulgaris (sugar beet)
Lineage: Eukaryota; Viridiplantae; Streptophyta; Magnoliopsida; Caryophyllales; Amaranthaceae
Exons: 2
Source: RefSeq, a predicted model, not a curated record